This is a long non-coding RNA of Cynoglossus semilaevis (tongue sole), 426 nucleotides long. RefSeq lists it as uncharacterized. The record is from RefSeq and is a predicted model, not a curated record. NCBI's taxonomy places the organism in Eukaryota, Metazoa, Chordata, Actinopteri, Pleuronectiformes, Cynoglossidae. The transcript has 4 exons.
AAAGUGAUGAGCCCGCCCUGUCACCUGAGUGGUAGACUCCGUGCUGGACGCUUGUGAUUGGAUAACGAGGCGCAGACUAGAAAAGCGGAAGGAAGUGGCGAUUCUUUUGGACCGGUGGAGGCUGCGAGGUGGUUGGUAUGAUUUCGGCGGUGUAGCAGCAGACCGGUGGACUCCACGACGCCAAGAAGUCCGAAGCAUCUGGUUUCUGUUUUAUUGUCACAGGACGUCGGAGCCCAUGACCAAAGACUAGCCUGUGAGGAGGUUGCAGGAACGCUGCCAUCCAAGUGGAAAAGGAAGCAGAAGAGAGGCCAGAAGAAGAGGUUUAACCAAGUUGCUGCACUCCUGAUGAUGGGGCCAUUGUUGAAUCCAGUGAGCACGUAAUGUUACAUGCAUUUGUAAAUGUGUUUUGCUAAUAAAAGGCUAAAG